Molecule: non-coding RNA, 887 nt
Filed under: Talaromyces stipitatus ATCC 10500
Lineage: Eukaryota; Fungi; Ascomycota; Eurotiomycetes; Eurotiales; Trichocomaceae
Description: Eukaryotic large subunit ribosomal RNA
Rfam family: Eukaryotic large subunit ribosomal RNA
Source: Rfam by way of RNAcentral
GAUUUUGAGUUGAAGUAAGAAGAGGUGGUAUUGAGAUGUGUAGAAACUUGGUUGUAGUAAAAAAUUUACAAAGGAAGAGGAUACAACUACGUAAAUAAAAAAAAUGAGUUGGUGACUAUUCUACCCCUGAGACGCUGACCACGCUAAACCAAUCUUGCCUAGCUCCCGAAAUUUUUGUUAGCAAUAACCCUGAGGUGUUCAACACCUCAACGUAAACUAUGUAUAGUUGAACGUGGGCGUUAGAAUGAAACGUUACUAGUGGGCCAUUUUUGGUAAGCAGAACUGGCGAUGCGGGAUGAACCGAACGCGAGGUUAAGGUGCCGGAAUGCACGCUCAUCAGACACCACAAAAGGUGUUAGUUCAUCUAGACAGCCCGACGGUGGCCAUGGAAGUCGGAAUCCGCUAAGGAGUGUGUAACAACUCACGGGCCGAAUGAACUAGCCCUGAAAAUGGAUGGCGCUCAAGCGUGCUACCCAUACCUCGCCGUCGGGGUAGAAACGAUGCCCCGACGAGUAGGCAGGCGUGGGGGUCCGUGACGAAGCCUUGGGAGUGAUCCCGGGUCGAACGGCCCCUAGUGCAGAUCUUGGUGGUAGUAGCAAAUACUCAAAUGAGAACUUUGAGGACUGAAGUGGGGAAAGGUUCCAUGUGAACAGCAGUUGGACAUGGGUGAGUCGAUCCUAAGACAUAGGGUAGUUCCGUUUGAAAGUGCGCCCUCGUGCGCCGUCCGUCGAAAGGGAAGCCGGUUAAUAUUCCGGCACCUGGAUGUGGAUUCUCCACGGCAACGUAACUGAACGCGGAGACAUCGGCGGGGGUCCUGGGGAAGAGUUCUCUUUUCUUCUUGACAGCCUAUCACCCUGAAAUCGGUUUGUCCGGAGCUAGGGUUCCAC